RNAcentral lists this ribosomal RNA (497 nucleotides) under uncultured bacterium. Its description in RNAcentral is "partial 16S ribosomal RNA". It matches the Rfam family "Bacterial small subunit ribosomal RNA", at positions 28 to 507 of the family's 1533-position model. The record is from RNAcentral.
GACGAACGCUGGCGGCGUGCCUAAUACAUGCAAGUCGAGCGAACGGACGAGAAGCUUGCUCCUCUGAUGUUAUCGGCCGACGGGAGAGUAACAUGUGGACAACCUACCUAUAAGACUGGGAUAACUUCGGGAAACCGGAGCUUAUACCGGAUAAUAUUUUGAACCGCAUGGUUCAAAAGUGAAAGACGGUCUUGCUGUCACUUAUAGAUGGACCCGCGCUGCAUUAGCUAGUUGGUAAGGUAACGGCUUACCAAGGCAACGAUGCAUAGCCGACCUGAGAGGGUGAUCGGCCACACGGGAACUGAGACACGGUCCAGACUCCUACGGGAGGCAGCAGUAGGGAAUCUUCCGCAAUGGGCGAAAGCCUGACGGAGCAACGCCGCGUAAGUGAUGAAGGUGUUCGGAUCGUAAAACUCUGUUAUUAGGAGAGAACAUAUGUGUAAGUAACUGUGCACAUCUUGACGGUACCUGAUCAGAAAGCCACGGCUAACUACGUG